GACGAACGCUGGCGGCGUGCUUAACACAUGCAAGUCGAACGGAAAGGCCCUGCUUUUGUGGGGUGCUCGAGUGGCGAACGGGUGAGUAACACGUGAGUAACCUGCCCUUGACUUUGGGAUAACUUCAGGAAACUGGGGCUAAUACCGGAUAGGAGCUCCUGCUGCAUGGUGGGGGUUGGAAAGUUUCGGCGGUUGGGGAUGGACUCGCGGCUUAUCAGCUUGUUGGUGGGGUAGUGGCUUACCAAGGCUUUGACGGGUAGCCGGCCUGAGAGGGUGACCGGCCACAUUGGGACUGAGAUACGGCCCAGACUCCUACGGGAGGCAGCAGUGGGGAAUAUUGCACAAUGGGCGGAAGCCUGAUGCAGCAACGCCGCGUGCGGGAUGACGGCCUUCGGGUUGUAAACCGCUUUCGCCUGUGACGAAGCGUGAGUGACGGUAAUGGGUAAAGAAGCACCGGCUAACUACGUGCCAGCAGCCGCGGUGAUACGUAGGGUGCGAGCGUUGUCCGGAUUUAUUGGGCGUAAAGGGCUCGUAGGUGGUUGAUCGCGUCGGAAGUGUAAUCUUGGGGCUUAACCCUGAGCGUGCUUUCGAUACGGGUUGACUUGAGGAAGGUAGGGGAGAAUGGAAUUCCUGGUGGAGCGGUGGAAUGCGCAGAUAUCAGGAGGAACACCAGUGGCGAAGGCGGUUCUCUGGGCCUUUCCUGACGCUGAGGAGCGAAAGCGUGGGGAGCGAACAGGCUUAGAUACCCUGGUAGUCCACGCUGUAAACGGUGGGUACUAGGUGUGGGGUCCAUUCCACGGGUUCCGUGCCGUAGCUAACGCUUUAAGUACCCCGCCUGGGGAGUACGGCCGCAAGGCUAAAACUCAAAGGAAUUGACGGGGCCCCGCACAAGCGGCGGAGCAUGCGGAUUAAUUCGAUGCAACGCGUAGAACCUUACCUGGGUUUGACAUGGGUCGGGAGCGCUCAGAGAUGGGUGUGCCUCUUUUGGGGUCGGUUCACAGGUGGUGCAUGGCUGUCGUCAGCUCGUGUCGUGAGAUGUUGGGUUAAGUCCCGCAACGAGCGCAACCCUUGUUCACUGUUGCCAGCACGUUAUGGUGGGGACUCAGUGGAGACCGCCGGGGUCAACUCGGAGGAAGGUGGGGAUGACGUCAAGUCAUCAUGCCCCUUAUGUCCAGGGCUUCACGCAUGCUACAAUGGCUGGUACAGAGAGUGGCGAGCCUGUGAGGGUGAGCGAAUCUCGGAAAGCCGGUCUCAGUUCGGAUUGGGGUCUGCAACUCGACCUCAUGAAGUCGGAGUCGCUAGUAAUCGCAGAUCAGCAACGCUGCGGUGAAUACGUUCCCGGGGCU
RNAcentral lists this ribosomal RNA (1346 nucleotides) under uncultured bacterium. RNAcentral describes it as "bacterial SSU rRNA". It matches the Rfam family "Bacterial small subunit ribosomal RNA", at positions 28 to 1381 of the family's 1533-position model. The record is from RNAcentral.